GUGUGUGUGUAUGUAUCACAGUGUGUGUGGCAAUGCAUGAGUAUAUGUGUAUACUUUUCAGCAUUCAAACACCAACACUACAUACAAACACACUCCUGCAUUGAAAUGUUAACACUACAUACAAACACACUUCUGUGUUAAAAACACCAAAAUUAUAUAUAAACAUACACUGCAUACACAUAAAUGCAUACUUGCAUUCAAACGCCAACACCACAUAUGAACACACCCCUACAUUCACACAAACAUACUCCAUACAAAAACAUGCUUACAUUCAAACACACAAACACUGCUCAUUACAAACUAAAUACAACCCUGCAAGCUUUGGACAAUGGUGAAGCCCCAGC
This is a non-coding RNA of Pelobates cultripes (western spadefoot toad), 344 nucleotides long. Lineage: Eukaryota; Metazoa; Chordata; Amphibia; Anura; Pelobatidae. The record is from the annotation of a GenBank genome assembly.